Molecule: ribosomal RNA, 448 nt
Filed under: uncultured bacterium
Lineage: Bacteria
Description: bacterial SSU rRNA
Rfam family: Bacterial small subunit ribosomal RNA
Source: RNAcentral
UGCCAGACUCCUACGGGAGGCAGCAGUGGGGAAUAUUGCACAAUGGGGGAAACCCUGAUGCAGCAACGCCGCGUGAAGGAAGACGGUUUUCGGAUUGUAAACUUCUGUUCUUAGUGAAGAAGAAUGACGGUAGCUAAGGAGCAAGCCACGGCUAACUACGUGCCAGCAGCCGCGGUAAUACGUAGGUGGCAAGCGUUGUCCGGAAUUACUGGGUGUAAAGGGAGCGUAGGCGGGAAAGCAAGUUGAAUGUUUAAGGUACGGGCUCAACCUGUACAAGCGUUCAAAACUGUUUUUCUUGAGUGGAGUAGAGGUAAGCGGAAUUCCUAGUGUAGCGGUGAAAUGCGUAAAUAUUAGGAGGAACACCAGUGGCGAAGGCGGCUUACUGGGCUUUAACUGACGCUGAGGCUCGAAAGCGUGGGUAGCAAACAGGAUUAGAUACCCGCGUAGA